UACGUAGGGUGCAAGCGUUAAUCGGAAUUACUGGGCGUAAAGCGUGCGCAGGCGGUUUUGUAAGUCUGACGUGAAAUCCCCGGGCUCAACCUGGGAAUUGCGUUGGAGACUGCAAGGCUGGAGUCUGGCAGAGGGGGGUAGAAUUCCACGUGUAGCAGUGAAAUGCGUAGAGAUGUGGAGGAACGACCGAUGGCGCAAGGCAGCCCCCUGGGUCAGACUGACGC
Molecule: ribosomal RNA, 224 nt
Filed under: uncultured bacterium
Lineage: Bacteria
Description: partial 16S ribosomal RNA
Rfam family: Bacterial small subunit ribosomal RNA
Source: RNAcentral